Phascolarctos cinereus (koala) is the source of this 1037-nucleotide non-coding RNA. The record is from RefSeq and is a predicted model, not a curated record. Lineage: Eukaryota; Metazoa; Chordata; Mammalia; Diprotodontia; Phascolarctidae.
UAUUCCUGAGACAUGGCCAACAUCUCUGCAAACACAGGCAACUUGUGAGAAGUCAGUGGGAGGGGAGGGGAGGAAGACCCUUCAGAGCUGCAGAGAAAGAGGAUGUGAUGGGACAGCUCCAGAUGAGAUGGUACAGCACAGGUGUUGGCCUGUCACGAGCCCCUGACUGAGGACUGAACUAGAAUCAAAUAACUGGAAGAAAGUGACCCUGGGUCAGACGACCAGCCCCUCAAAUAUUCACACUGCUCUCACCACUGAGGACCUUUCAGAUGAGAACAGAGGUGUUAUUCUACCCCCCAUCUGAGCUUCUCAAUGCAUGGGAUGGAGUACGUGGGCCUUUUACUAUGAAAGCCUUUCAUUUUCCUUUCCACAAGGGAAACCUCGGCUUCUUCAGAGCAAUACAGGACAAUGUCAAAAACCUCAGAAAUACCCUUUGUGACCAUGACACCCAAAGUUUCACCUGGCAAGAAGACAGGAAAAAACUCCAAUUUCUAUAGCAGAGUAGAGACUGCCAUCCAUUCCAUAGACAGUCUGUUCACUUUUCCUUCUUUGUGACUUUCAUUGACAGACUUCUUCUUCAAACAGUCUCUAGACAUGUCUGUUCUCUUGGCAAAAGUAAAGGUCAAAAUAUGGAUCAACUUCUGGAGAGUUUAGAUUUCAGACCCCUCUAAAAGUGGCAAAAUGUCAGGCAGUCAGGAAUUUAAUGUUGUAUCUUAUAUUUUCCAUUCCCUUCAGGAACUGUUUUCUAAUCUAUAAUGUGAUAAGUCACAUGAAAGAGAAAAGAAUCUUGAUGGAGAGGGGAGCUGAGCUAUUCUGGUAAACAUGUGAAUCUCAAGCUAUCCACUACAGGUGAAACAAGACAAGGUAGAACUUGAGCUGAUGUCUAAGGCACUAGGAGGCAGAAACCAAAGAAAACCCGUUUCCAUUUUCAGAAAGGUCUAGGAAGGUAGUCCAUUUCCAUCCAAAUACAUCCAAGGACUAGAGCAGGCCUGUACAACAUAUAAACUGUGCAUAUAAACUGUGUCCACAAAAUCCAA